This 397-nucleotide ribosomal RNA is filed under the name Ebriida sp. TAGIRI1 lineage. RNAcentral's name for it is "partial small subunit ribosomal RNA". It matches the Rfam family "Eukaryotic small subunit ribosomal RNA", at positions 582 to 975 of the family's 1831-position model. The record is from RNAcentral. Lineage: Eukaryota; Cercozoa; Thecofilosea.
AUUCCAGCUCCAAUAGCGUAUAUUAAAGUUGUUGCAGUUAAAAAGCUCGUAGUUGGAUUUCUGGUCUGAUGCCCUGGCCCGCGUCCGAUUUCGGAGUGAGUGCCGGCUGUGCGUCUACCAUCCUUCUAGAAAACGGAUCUACCCUUCACUGGGCCGGGUUCGCGAUCUAGAUCUUUUACUUUGAAAAAAUUAGAGUGUUUAAAGCAGGCUUUUGCUAUGAAUACAUUAGCAUGGAAUAAUAAUCUAGGACUUCGGUUCUAUUUUGUUGGUUUCUAGUACUGAAGUAAUGAUUGAUAGGGAUAGUUGGGGGUGCUAGUAUUGGGCGGCCAGAGGUGAAAUUCUUGGAUUCGCUCAAGACUAACUUAUGCGAAAGCAUUCACCAAGGAUGUCUUCAUUA